GUGCCAGCCGCCGCGGUAAUUCCAGCUCCAAUAGCGUAUAUUAAAGUUGCUGCAGUUAAAAAGCUCGUAGUUGGAUCUCAGUUACGGGCAGGUGGUUCACUUUACGGUGCUACUACCUGUACCGAACUUGAUUGCUGGAUCUCUUGGGUGCCCUUCACUGGGUGCCCCUUGAGACCAGAGCGUUUACUUUGAGAAAAUUAGAGUGCUCAAAGCAGUCGAACGCCUGAAUAGUUGUGCAUGGAAUAAUGAAACAGGGCCUCGGUGCCAUAUUUGUUGGUUUUAGGCGCCCGAGGUAAUGGUUGAAAGGGACUGACGGGGGCAUUCGUAUUGCGACGUUAGAGGUGAAAUUCUUAGAUCGUCGCAAGACGGACAACAGCGAAAGCAUUUGCCAAGAAUGUCUUCAUUAAUCAAGAACGAAAGUCAGAGGUUCGAAGGCGAUCAGAUACCGCCCUAGUUCUGACCUUAAACGAUGCUAACUGGCGAUCCAGAGGGGGUAUUUCAAUGACCCGCUGGGCAGCUUCCGGGAAACCUAAGUUUUUCGGUUCCGGGGGAAGUAUGGUUGCAAAGCUGGAACUUAAAGGAAUUGACGGAAGGGCACCACCAGGAGUGGAGCCUGUGGCUUAAUUUGACUCAACACGGGAAACCUCACCAGGCCCAGACACUAGAAGGAUUGACAGAUUGAGAGCUCUUUCUUGAUUUGGUGGAUGGUGGUGCAUGGCCGUUCUUAGUUGGUGGAGUGAUUUGUCUGGUUAAUUCCGAUAACGAACGAGACUUUGGCCUAUUAAAUAGGCAGUGGAUAUUUAAAGUCCGCAUUGUCUUCUUAGAGGGACAAGGCAGCUUCAAGCUGCAUGAAAUGAAGCAAUACAGGUCUGUGAUGCCCUUAGAUGUUCUGGGCCGCACACGCGCUACAAUGAAAGUGGCAGAGUGUCUUCCUGACUCGAUAGAGUUGGGUAACCCUUGCAAACAUUUUCGUGCUUGGGAUUGAGGUUUGC
This 992-nucleotide ribosomal RNA is filed under the name uncultured eukaryote. RNAcentral's name for it is "bacterial SSU rRNA". It matches the Rfam family "Eukaryotic small subunit ribosomal RNA", at positions 564 to 1587 of the family's 1831-position model. The record is from RNAcentral.